AUGGGUGUAAUUCAGUAGGUAGAAUGCUAGGUUUGGGACCUAGUUGUCGCCAGUUCGAGUCUGGCUACCCAUA
Molecule: transfer RNA, 73 nt
Filed under: Lachnospira eligens
Lineage: Bacteria; Bacillati; Bacillota; Clostridia; Lachnospirales; Lachnospiraceae
Also listed under: 1 other name
Description: tRNA-Pro
Rfam family: tRNA
About the family: Transfer RNA (tRNA) molecules are approximately 80 nucleotides in length.
Source: RNAcentral